RNAcentral lists this ribosomal RNA (493 nucleotides) under uncultured bacterium. Its description in RNAcentral is "partial 16S ribosomal RNA". It matches the Rfam family "Bacterial small subunit ribosomal RNA", at positions 29 to 508 of the family's 1533-position model. The record is from RNAcentral.
AGUGAACGCUGGCGGUAGGCCUAACACAUGCAAGUCGAACGGCAGCACAGUAAGAGCUUGCUCUUACGGGUGGCGAGUGGCGGACGGGUGAGGAAUACAUCGGAAUCUACUUUUUCAUGGGGGAUAACGUAGGGAAACUUACGCUAAUACCGCAUACGACCUACGGGUGAAAGCAGGGGAUCUUCGGACCUUGCGCGAUUGAAUGAGCCGAUGUCGGAUUAGCUAGUUGGCGGGGUAAAGGCCCACCAAGGCGACGAUCCGUAGCUGGUCUGAGAGGAUGAUCAGCCACACUGGAACUGAGACACGGUCCAGACUCCUACGGGAGGCAGCAGUGGGGAAUAUUGGACAAUGGGCGCAAGCCUGAUCCAGCCAUACCGCGUGGGUGAAGAAGGCCUUCGGGUUGUAAAGCCCUUUUGUUGGGAAAGAAAAGCAGCAGGUUAAUACCCCGCUGUUCUGACGGUACCCAAAGAAUAAGCACCGGCUAACUUCGUGC